GAUGAACGCUGGCGGCGUGCCUAAUACAUGCAAGUCGAGCGAACAGACGAGGAGCUUGCUCCUCUGACGUUAGCGGCGGACGGGUGAGUAACACGUGGAUAACCUACCUCUAAGACUUGGAUCACUUCGGGAAACCGGAGCUACUACCGGAUACUAUAUUUAACCGCAUGGUUCAAUAGUUGAAGACGGUUUUGCUGUCACUUCUAGCUGGAUCCGCGCUGCAUUAGCUAGUUGGUAAGGUAACGGCUUACCAAGGCAACGAUGCGUAGCCGACCUGAGAGGGUGAAGGGCCACACUGGAACUGAGACACGGUCCAGGGUCCUACGGGAGGCAGAGGUAGGGAAGCGUCCGAAAAGGGCGAAAGCUUGAAGGAGCAACGCCGCGUGGGUGAUGAAGGGCUGCGGAGCGUAAAACUCUGUUAUGGGGGAAGAACAAAUGUGUAAGUAACUAUGCACGUCUUGACGGUACCUAAUCAGAAAGCCACGGCUAACUACGUG
Molecule: ribosomal RNA, 497 nt
Filed under: uncultured bacterium
Lineage: Bacteria
Description: partial 16S ribosomal RNA
Rfam family: Bacterial small subunit ribosomal RNA
Source: RNAcentral